AGGGAUUUACGAUUAACUGGUAAACACGCGGGCUCCAACCCCGCGAUUCUCGGUUCGAAUCCGGGCAUCCCUGCCA
This 76-nucleotide transfer RNA is filed under the name Pyrinomonadaceae bacterium. RNAcentral's name for it is "tRNA-Ser". It matches the Rfam family "tRNA". From Rfam's summary of the family: Transfer RNA (tRNA) molecules are approximately 80 nucleotides in length. Their secondary structure includes four short double-helical elements and three loops (D, anti-codon, and T loops). The record is from RNAcentral. Lineage: Bacteria; Pseudomonadati; Acidobacteriota; Blastocatellia; Blastocatellales; Pyrinomonadaceae.